CAGUAGCCGCGGGAAUACGAAGGGGGCUAGCGUUGUUCGGAAUUACUGGGCGUAAAGCGCACGUAGGCGGAUAUUUAAGUCAGGGGUGAAAUCCCAGAGCUCAACUCUGGAACUGCCUUUGAUACUGGGUAUCUUGAGUAUGGAAGAGGUGAGUGGAAUUCCGAGUGUAGAGGUGAAAUUCGUAGAUAUUCGGAGGAACACCAGUGGCGAAGGCGGCUUACUGGCUCGAUACUGACGCUGAGGUGCGAAAGCGUGGGGAGCAAACAGGAUUAGAUACCCGAGUAGUCCCUGUCUCUUAUAC
RNAcentral lists this ribosomal RNA (301 nucleotides) under uncultured bacterium. Its description in RNAcentral is "partial 16S ribosomal RNA". It matches the Rfam family "Bacterial small subunit ribosomal RNA", at positions 509 to 807 of the family's 1533-position model. The record is from RNAcentral.